This 10318-nucleotide long non-coding RNA is filed under the name Vitis vinifera (wine grape). RNAcentral describes it as "long non-coding RNA (VVIN_LNC002603)". Lineage: Eukaryota; Viridiplantae; Streptophyta; Magnoliopsida; Vitales; Vitaceae. The record is from RNAcentral.
UACAAAAAAUUUCCAUAAAACCUGGUUCGCAGUGUGAAUUUCAGAAUUCUGAGUUGGUUACAACAUGAACAAUGAACAUGAGAACGUUGACAAAACUAGGUUAAUUUAUUAGGAAACAGAAUUAAGAAGGGAUUGAUUUUAGUUUUGGGAUGGAUGGGUUGAUGACAAGUGAGAUUUAAAUACCAUUCCAGCAGAGGGAUUAGUAAUGCUGUAACCGCCAUCCACCACCAAGUUGAUCCCGCUAACGUACUUGGAGUCAUCGCUCCCCAGAUACAAGGCUGCCUCUGCGAUGUCUUCCGCCUCUAACACCGCACCUUUUAGGUUGGCCGCAGAGGAAACUAACUCUUCAACCUUCCUCUUCUCCAUUAUUCCCAAUCCUUUCUGUAACAUAGGUGUUGCCACUCCGAACGGAGAUAUGCAAUUAACUCUUAUCCCAUAUUGUCCCAACUCCACACAUAAGUUGUUGGCAAGUCCCACCACAGCAUGCUUCGAUGCCACAUAUGCAUGUGAGAUCUCCUCCGAAACAACUGAAGCCACACUUGACGUAAAUAUAAUGCAUCCUGUCUUAGCUGGAAUCAUAACUCUAGCGGCAUGCUUAGCGGCCAAGAAGGCCCCAUACACAUUCACAUCGAAAACCCUUUUAAAGUUUGUGUUAUCAGAGAGUAUGAUUCUUGACUCCAUUUCGCCAUGGACGCCGGCGUUGCUGAACAUGAUGUCGAGUUUCCCAUAUUUGGAUAUGGCAGUGUCGACGGCGUUUUGGACGUCGGAGUCACAUGUUACAUCGCAGUGGACAUGGAAAACGGUUUCUGCGGGACCAAUUUCUUGGCAAAGGGAGCGCCCAAGUUGGUCUUGGACAUCUGCCACUAUGACCUUGGCACCAUGUUUCACAAAUAACUUGGCAGUGCAGGCGCCUAUGCCACUGGCUCCACCAGUUAUUAGUGCCACUUUCCCUGCUAACCUGCAAUUCAAACAAAGGAAACAUUUCAUCUUUUACAUAUUUCCAUGUGAAAUGAAUUAAUUACAUAAGAAAUAUCUCGUACCGAUAUUCUCAAAAUUAUCACAUAAUGAUAUGAAAUAUAUUUGUUUUAGAAGAUUAAGUAGCCAGGAGUACCUGAAUCUGUUAAUCAAAAAAUGAAGAUCAUAAGCAAAUUAAAAGCCUAACUAUCAUCGGCUUACCUCUGGGUGAGGGGAAUGGCAGCACUCAUUUCUGCCACGUGAUGAAGAAGAGGGAAAUGUCUGGGCUAUCUCUGCUUUAUGUUGUCUAUGCCUUUGUAGGACAAAAUUCUCGAUAUGGUAAGUCACAGUCAACUUCCAGGUUGGCCGUUUAAAAAUAAAAAGUACUUGUAGAAGCCCAAACCUUGGGCGGCUAGAUUUCUUAAUAAUGGGCCGGCGGGUAAAACGUCAGGGCCUACGUUAGUCUGACAACUAUAUUUUAGGUAUCUUAUUACUGAAAGAAUAUGUCAACCGUUGUGAGUUGUGACCUUAAUUAAAAUAAAAAUAAAAUAAAAUAAAACUGUUGAAAGUUUGGCCGAAAAAUCGCUUAUCGACUAUGAAUAGGUCACCGCUACCCACCCUGCCCAUGCUUCAAAUUUCAAAUUUAAAGUGGCAGGAUGCUGCCACCGAAUUUCAAAUUUAAAGUGCUGCGCAAGGGAUUCGAACCAGGCCAAAAAUUCUUGGAUUCAAGCUUGGUUGUUAUUACACCUCGUUUGUUAAUAUGUUAUAAUAAUAAAUAUGUUAAAGUUCAUUAUUAAAAAAAAAAAAUUAAUUAUUUUAUUUUAAAUUUUAUUUAAUUAAUUAAUAAAUAUAUAAAAAAUAAAAACUAUCAUUAUAAUUUCUUUAAUAAAUAUUAUUUAUAUAAUAAUUAAAUAUUAAAAAGUCAUAUAUACAUCAUCAUUUAUUUUACAUUAUUAAAUAUAUUUGAAUUAAAUAAAUUAUAAUUUAAAUGUUAAAUGUAUCAUCAUUUAUCUCAUUAAUUCUAUUUUAAAAAUUACUAUAACUUCACUUUUAAAAUUUUUUUAUUUAUCAUUUUAAUUUUGAAUGUUUUUAUUUUAAAAUAUUAAAAAUAUACAUUUAUUAAAAAACACUAAAAUAUUAAAAAAAUAAUUAAGUUGUAAUAUUUUAUAAAUUAAAAUUAAUUUGAAUAUAUAAAUAAUAAGUUAUUAAUUCUGAUAUAUUCGAUAUUUUUUCUCUUUAACCAUACCUAUAUCAAUUAUAGUUAAAAAAAAAAACUAACAUGUGUAUUUUUAUUUAUUUUAUCAUUUUUUUACCAUUUUUUCAAAUAUUUUUAUGAAUUUUGAAUAAUUUUUACCUUAUCAAUAUUUUUGUUAAAAUAUCUCCUUAUAUUUUUUUGAUAUUUCCUAUAUAUCCGUAAAAUCCAAGUAUUGAUCUAAUUUUUUGUUUUUUUAAAGAAAAAUUAUAAAUCUAAAUUCUUUUUAAAAAUCUUUAUUAAAUUAGUGACACUAUUAGUUUUUUCCGUCAACCAUGAUCUUAAUAGAAAAAAAAUAAAAUAAUAAUGAUAAAUGGAUGUUGACGUGGGAAUAGUAUGUGUUGGGAAAAGAAUCAAAAGAGAGUAGUUGUGGCAAACUCCCAUAUUUUACAAGCCACUUUGCAAGAGUCCACUCCACAUGCCUCAGCCACUUGCGCCGCCUGUUCUAGGUACCACGCACCUUACCUUCCAACAAAUUAAAGAACUAUCUUGAUUGUGCCUUCGUCUUUUUUUAAUUUGAAAGAAGUUAGCAAAAGAUCUCGUAUGGAGAGCCCUUGUGUGACAACAAGUUAUCAUCUUUUAAUUUAUUUUUUUGGUAGACUUAAAACAUAAUACAAUAUGCACUUUAAUCAAUUGUAUAAUAUGCUAUUAAACAUAAUACAAUAUACUUUUUUCUUUAAUAUUGUGAGAAAUAUUAAUGAAGUUAAAAUAUUUUGAAUUAUUAGAAGUUUAAGAAAUAUUGAAAUUUAGAGUUUGUUUAGCCUUUUAAUUUAAAAAUGUUUUUUUUUAAAUAAAAACUAAAAAUUAGUUUUUAAGAUUUAUAGUAUUAUUUGUGGUAUGGAAAAAUUAAUCUGAUUUAUUUGAUAUCCUUUGUUUGAUGAGAAAACAAGUCACUAAUGAGAAAAUUAGUCAGAUUCUACAAUAUCAAACUUAUGAGACUUAAAGGAAUAAAGAAAGAGAAUUUUAAAAAAGAAAAAAAACGAGGGAAUUAAAAAUCAUAAAUAAAUUAAGUAAAUAAAAAUAAUAUAAAAGGAUUGGAUUCUAAAUGAACAAAAUUUAACUUGAAAAUGAUCUUUUUGAUGACGAAGAAUGAAAGAGAAAGGGAUUGAUCCAUAAUAAUAUUUUAUUCUUAUUAUAAGAUCAUGAUUUGAUUUCCAUAUCUUUGAUAAAAAGAAUAAUCCUUUCCUUCUAUAAAAAUGGAAAAUAUUCAAUUGAAACAUGAAAAUGUGACUAAAUUGGUCCUAAUUACUCUUUGAGACAAAACAAAAAAAGGGAGGAGAUUCUUGAAUAAAGAAAAAAUCCAAUGACUUCGAUAAAACCGAAUGAGGAAUGGUAUGAGUUGAAAUAACAUAUAUAUGAUUUUGUAGAGUGACCAUUAGAGUGACUUAUCUAUAAACUUUUUCAUUAUUAUGCACUAAAAACUCAACUUUACCCCAUGUAAAGUUAGAAUGCAAUAUUCCUUUACAUUUGAAAUCACUAGUUAUAUACUUGGUAAUUGGUAUUGAUCUUAAUUCAUAAAAACAUUUUAUAAUCAUAGUAAUAGAAGGAAAAGUUGAAGUUUCCUUUCCUUUUGUGAGAUGUCACACUAUUCAAGUAACCUUAGAUGUUGUUCAUUCUAAUUUCAAGACUUAGUUUAUACUCUUUCUUAAUCUAAUGUCAUGACCAUCUAAUGCUAGAUCCAAGACCUUAAAAGGUUUUUUUAUAAAAAAAUUAUUUUUAAAGAUUUAUUAUAUUCUUGGAGUGUUGUUACCUUAAAAAUAGUUUUUAAAAAUAAAGUUAAAAAAUAAUAGUUUGAAGAGAUAUUUUCACUUAUUUUUAGAAAAAAAAUAUGAGCAAAUAAAAAUAGAUUCACGAAUAUUAUAAAAAGCAAAAUAUAAUUUUUUUUUCCUUUUAUUCUCUUUAGUGCUCAACAUUUAAAAUCUUUAAAUAUAAUGUCUCUAAAUUUUCUUGUUAGGUAAACAAAUUUAAAACUUAGACUAAAUUUUCUUGUUAGGUAAACAAAUUUAAAACUUAGAGGGACUUGAUGCAUGGGAUUUGCUCAUGUUUAAAAUAAUUUGGAAUAAAAAAAUUAUCAAAAUUAAAAAAAAAAAAAAAACUUAAAACCUAAUCAAAGUAAGGCUAGAAAGUGUUGCACCAAAACUAGUCAUGAUAGAUUUUGCUUGUUCUCCUUUACAUAUAAUUAUGAUUUUUUUGAAUUUUUCCACUAAGUAAAUAGACUUUAUAAUUAAGACUUUAACGUGUUUGAAUUCCUUAAUCAACCUAAUAAUUUUUAAAAAUAAUUUAAAAUUCAUAUACUAAGCCAAUUAAUACAAGAGAUUUAUGAACAAAAAUUGGUUCAAAAUUUAUUUUGUUAUUUAUUUUCUAUGUAAAACUAUUUGUCACUAAAUAAAUAAAUAAAUUUCAAAUCAAAUGACACUUAAUACUUUAGAUGUGUUAACAAGACUAUUUGGACAAAACUUUUUUUUUUUUUAGGUGAAACUAGAUACGUUACAUAAACUUGAGUUAAAUUCAAUACAUAAAUUUCAAACAAAAUUAACAAGUUUCCUUUUUUGUCAAUCUAAUACAUUAAUCUUUCAUAAUCUAUAAUUUAUCAAUAAAAUUUUUAACUUUGUUAAUUUAAUUAAUAAUAAUACUAAAUAAUGAGAUAUAAAUGAAAAUUACAAUAUCGAAUAAAACUAAUAUAUAUAUAUAUAAUUGAAAGUUCUAUUUAUUUACAAAAUUCUAAAAGGUUACUUUUAGUGAAAGCCCUAAAUGAAGGAAUUAUUUGACACUUAAGCAUAAUUUAAAAUUGACAUUGCUUAAAAAGAAAUGGGUGUUAAUUUGAAAAGUGAGCAAAAAUGGAAAAGCUUCUUUUUUUUUUUUUUUGAAUUUACGCUUAAAUUAAGGGGGAAAACAAAGAAGAUUAUUUGAAAACAAUUUGACUAAUUUGAACUUGUUCUAUAUUUUUACUCACAUUAACUUUUUAGCUUAAUAUUAGUAUAAGAAAGGUUGUACACUAAUAAAACUAUUGAUUUAGUAGAAAAAAAAUUAUAGAGACCUCUAACUAGAAGAUAAUGGAAAAGUAUCUUUGUAACCAUUCCAUCGUGUCGUUGAAGGAACCAUAACAAAUCUUUCUGGUCCAUUAAAAAUGAAACAAAUUAAUUGAUCUUUCAUUGGUUAGAAGACAAAUAUAGCGUUCAUUACUUUUGGAAAAAAAUCAUAUAAUUAAUUACUAGUUGACACAUGGCAAUCAAGAGUGUAUAAAAACUAAAAAGUAAUGAAAUUUCACAAGGAAAGAAACUUUUGAAGACAUUAUAUUUUAAUGAAUUCAUAUAAUUAAAAGUUGUGCCUUUGACGAAAAGUAUCCAAAAUUUUAGUAAAUUUUAUAUAGAUGUAUUAAAUUUGGAUUUUAGAUAUUGAAGUUUUUAUUUUGUUUUGUUUUGUUUUGUUUUUUUGGUUUUUUUUUUUUUAAUUUAAAUGUGAACACACUUCCUUUCCAUUUCUUUCUUGAAGAAAAGACAUACUGAAAAAGUUCACUUGAAGGUCAAAAAUCAAAUAAAAAUACAAUGGAACGAAGGUGUAUGAACAAAUUUCAUAAAAGGUCUUGCAAAAUUAGUAAAACAAAUAAAAAAAUAAUACAAAUAAAAUAUUUAUUGAAAUUAAAAAUAUUAUGGGUAUAAUAUCAAUAUAAAAAAUAAUAUUAUUUUCAAAAGAAUAUUUUUUUUUCUUAUUCUGAAUUCAUUGAAUAACACGUACACGUGUUACUAAUUUGUAGAGAGAUUUGAUGAAAUUUUUUCUUUUGUUACGAAGAAAACUUUUUCUUUUAUUGUGAAAAGCCUCUUUUCUUGUAUUGAAUUUUCUCUUUUUGAAUUUCAAAUUUUCGGAUUUUAAUUAAAAAGAUUUAGUUUCUUGAUUUUAACAACUUUUAUUAUUAUUAUUAUUGUUAUUAUUAUUAUUAUUAUUAUCUUGGAGAUUAGUUUCCUUUUAUAGGAAAAUUAUCUAUAAAAGGAUACAUAUUUUUAUUUAUUCACUUAUCAAGUUAUUUAUCAAUUUUGAAGAUCAAAUGAUAAUUUAAUCAACUAAAAUUUUUAUGUUUACAUAAGGAUUAAAACAACUUCUUCUAUUAUAUUUUUCAAGCGGGGUGGAAUUUUUGAGAAAUAUUAGGUACGCCUAACUUAUGAAUACUUAAAAACAUGAGAUCACCUUGUGAGAGAGUUUUGGGGCAAAAUAGCCCUUUCAUGUAAACAAAUAUAACUUUUAGCUCCGUUUUAAAACUUAUGUUUAAACUAUAACCCCUUUAUUCCCACAUACAAGGAUUGAAAUAUCGGUAAACACGGAUAUAUCGGUACUUGAAUUUUACGGAUAUAUCGAAAAUAUCGGAGAAAUAUCGGUGGAUAUUUUUCAUCAAAUAUCGGUGAGACAAAAAUUAUCCAAAAUUGAUGGGAAUGCUUAAAAAAAGCCAAAGAAUGAUAAAAUAAGCAAGAAUAUGCAUGUUAAAGUUAUUUUAUAAGUGUAAUUGACAUAAAUAUGAUCAAAGAAAAAAAUAUCGGUAAAUAGUUUACGAUACUUGGAUUUGAAGAAUAAAAAAUAUGAAAUUUGGAAUUGUACACUUAGAAAGUUAGAAUUGAGUUAAGAAAUAUUUGAUUUCAUUAAAUGAAAACAAUUUACACAUAAACAUAAUACAUAUGACAUUGCAAUGGUCCUUAAUACCAAAAUGAAGAUCGAUGUGGUUCCAUCAUAUUGUUAUUGUUAGAUGAAGGGAGCCCAUCUUGUUGAAGACAAUAUUCAUACCAGGACAUGGAGUUUCGAUAGUAUUGAUUGUAUGUACGAACAUGCCAUGCAUAAAUUUCUUGAGUCCUACCAACAACUUGUCCAUGGAUAGGAAAUCCAGGGUUUUCCCAUGUGCUCGUUUGAAAUCCUUGUUGUUGCAGCUGAUGUGGAAGGUAGUAUGGCAUUUGUGUGGAAGAAGGAUAGUUAUACCUUUCAUACUCUUCAUCAGUGGAACUUGAAAGAUUUUGAGGAGGCUGACCAUAACUCAUUGCAUAAGGGGCAUAAAUGUUGGCUUCGUUUGAUGAAUCACUGAAUUGAGUCUCUACACUCAUCGACUCAAAACUGGCCGACAAUGAGUCCUCGUUGUAUGGCAUCAUCCUUCGUUGUCUUCCUCUAUAUGGCUUUCCAAUGGCUCCAACACCUGGACCGGCUCUUCUAGAGCCGUGGUCUUCAUCUUGAGUACAAUGUGUGAAAUCAUCUUCACAAGUAAAUGCCAAGGUUCUCCUCAUCGUCCUCAUCAAUUAAAUGCAUAUGUCUUCUUCCCAUUGUGUCUCGCAGUUCUGCUCGAAUCUCUUCUAUAUCAACAGCUUUCUUCGCUUUUGCCUUAUUUCUUUGCUCUAUAAGUCGUCUUAUUUCUUGUUUCACUUCUGGAGGCACGUUAGGACACUUUUUUGUAUUUGAAUUAGGGUCUGUAUGUGAUAGGUGAAAUUUAAAACGAGUAAUCCCACCACUCUUUAUUGCCAACCCACAGUAAUUGCAUAUUGUUCCAUUUUUGUUCCCUUCCAUAGGUGUACAAUAUUUCCAACAAGGAUCUCGACCCAUGGUACCGCUUUCACUAGCCAUUUUCUAAAAUUGAAUUAUGAAACUAAUAUCAAAUUUAAAAUUAUUAAAGAUAAAACAUGUAAGAAAUUUAAUAUGCAUGAAAUUGAUAAGAACUAAUAAAAAUUGAAAUUAAAAUUGAAUUAUGCAUAUAUGAAAUAGAUAAACAUUACAAUAAAAUUUUGAUAAGAAUUAAAAUAAAUUAAAUUUGCAUAUUCAUGAAAUUGAUAAGAAUCACUACUAAUAAAAAUUAAAAUUAAAAAUGAAUUAUGCAUAUAUGAAAUAGAUAAACAUUACAAUAAAAUUUUGAUAAGAAUUAAAUUAAAUUAAAAUAAAUUAAAUUUGCAUAUUCAUGAAAUUGAUAAGAAUCAUUACUAAUAAAAAUUAAAAUUGAAUUAUGCAUAUAUGAAAUAGAUAAACAUUACAAUUACAUUUUCAUAUGAAUUAGAAAAUAUCAAUUAAACUAUAUAUAACAAAUAAAAUUUAAUUAUGCAUAAUAAAAUAAAUUUUAUGAAAGGUAAGACAUACCUUAAUUAGCCUUUGACUUGGAGUUAAUCCCCUUCACCACCAAAUUUUCAAAAUAAAAAAUUUUUGCUAGAUCAUAUAAGAAUUUUGAUGUAUGAAAUGAAAUGGAAUGUGGGUAUUUAUAGGAAUUUUUUUGGUCAAACUAGCCGUUGGAUGGUCAAACUAGCCGUUAUAAAUUAAUUUUAACCGUUGGAUCAAAAUUUGGUUCAAAUUUCACCAUUAGAUCUUCAUAUAACCGUUGGAAACACUCCAUAGCCCUUGAUAAAAGUCAAGAUUGAUUUUCCACCAUUGGAUCACAAAUCUGACCGUUGGAGGCCUUUACAUACACGGGUGAAAUCUGGGCCAUCAGAUCCUCAAAAAUUCAAAAUUGGCCGUCAGAUCAAAAGCAGGGAAUCUUCAAAAAAUCGCCGAUUUUUUCAAAAAAUCGUCGAUUUAUCGCGAUUUUAUCGGCAAAAAAUCGCCGAUUUUUCCGAUUAAUCGCCGAUUUUGCCGAUUUUUGGCCGAUUUUUCCGUCGAUCGAUAAUCGGUGCCGAUUAUCGUUUCGAUGCCGCCCGAUAACCGAUAUUUCUCCGAAAUAUCGGCGACAUUUUCCGAUUUUUCAAUCCAUGCCCACAUAAGAGUUAUGUCAUUUUUUUUUUAAUAUUAAAAUUUGAACGGAAGCCUCAAUUGCCAAUCGAAACUUCAUUUUUGAACUAAAAUUUAAAUUGACAAUUGAGACUUUAGUUAUUUUUGUUUACUUUAAAAUUUAAUUAAAAAUAUUAAAUUAUAAAUUAUAAUUGAAAUUAAAAAUAUAUACAUCAAUAAUAAAAGUUUAUAUAUUUAAACUUAAUGAUCUAAUAUUACUUCAAUAAAGAUAAAUUGAUAAAUAUAAUAAUAAAUGAAUAUUUUAUUUAUCAAUAAAUUAACAAAUUUAAAAUAUUAAAGUUAUAUUGCAUAUAAAUAAGAUAUAAAAUUAUAUAAUUUAUUAAUUUAAGAUAUUUAAUUUAUUGUAUUUUUAAUAUAUUAAUUUAUUUGUAUUUUGACAAAUAUUGAAAUAAAAGUAUAUUCUUAAGUUAUUUGUACACACAAUAUAUAUGCCUUGAAUAUUUGUUUUGAAAUUAGUUAAUGAAAUUAAUAAGAAAAAGUCUAUAACAAAAUCUAAUUUUUAUUAGUUUCAUCAAAGUCACAAGAAAAUACCUAUUAAACAUUUCUUGUGUGAAAAAAAACCCCUCGUUCCUAAUUACAUGUGAUAUAAUUUAAAUUAAUAAAUUAUAUAAUUUUAUAUCUUAUUUAUAUGUCAUAUAACUUUAUUAUUAUAAGAUUAUUAAUUUAUUGAUAAAUAAAAUAUUUAUUUAAUUUUAUAUUUAUCAAUUUAUCUUUAUUCAAAUAAUAUUAGAUUUUUAAGUUUAAAUAUAUAAAUUUUUAUUAUUAAAAUAUAUGUUUUUAAUUUCAAUAAUAAUUUAUAAUUUAAAAUUUUUUCCAAAUUAAAAGGGUGAGUUGGAAGCGAGUCAGGGGGGGUUGAACAUCCAACACUAGUUUGACUUUUCCAAAUUUUUAGGAUAACGUAAUGGGACAUGGACUGAUGAAUGGUAUUUUAUUACAAAAAAUUCCCAUAAAACCUGGUUCGCAAUGUGAAUUUCAGAAACAACAUGAACAAUGAACAUGAGAACGUUGACAAAACUAGGUUAAUUUAUUAGGAAAUAGAAUUAAGAAGGGAUUGAUUUUAGUUUUGGGAUGGAUGGGUUGAUGACAAGUGAGAUUUAAAUACCAUUCCAAAAGAGGGAUUAGUAAUGCUGUAACCGCCAUCCACCACCAAGUUGAUCCCGCUAACGUACUUGGAGUCAUCGCUCCCCAGAUACAAGGCUGCCUCUGCGAUGUCUUCCGCCUCUAACACCACACCUUUUAGGUUGGCCGCAGAGGAAACUAACUCUUCAACCUUCCUCUUCUCCAUUAUUCCCAAUCCUUUCUGUAACAUAGGUGUUGCCACUCCGAACGGAGAUAUGCAAUUAACUCUUAUCCCAUAUUGUCCCAACUCCACAC